Molecule: ribosomal RNA, 433 nt
Filed under: uncultured bacterium
Lineage: Bacteria
Description: partial 16S ribosomal RNA
Rfam family: Bacterial small subunit ribosomal RNA
Source: RNAcentral
AACGAACGCUGGCGGCAUGCCUAACACAUGCAAGUCGAACGAGACCUUCGGGUCUAGUGGCGCACGGGUGCGUAACGCGUGGGAACCUGCCCUUAGGUUCGGAAUAACUCCCCGAAAGGGGUGCUAAUACCGGAUAAUGUCUUCGGACCAAAGAUUUAUUGCGUUUGGAUGGGCCCGCGUUGGAUUAGCUAGUUGGUAGGGUAAAAGCCUACCAAGGCGACGAUCCAUAGCUGGUCUGAGAGGAUGAUCAGCCACACUGGGACUGAGACACGGCCCAGACUCCUACGGGAGGCAGCAGUGGGGAAUAUUGGACAAUGGGCGAAAGCCUGAUCCAGCAAUGCCGCGUGAGUGAUGAAGGCCUUAGGGUUGUAAAGCUCUUUUACCCGGGAUGAUAAUGACAGUACCGGGAGAAUAAGCUCCGGCUAACUACGUG